GUGGGGAAUCUUGCGCAAUGGGCGAAAGCCUGACGCAGCCAUGCCGCGUGAAUGAUGAAGGUCUUAGGAUUGUAAAAUUCUUUCACCGGGGACGAUAAUGACGGUACCCGGAGAAGAAGCUCCGGCUAACUUCGUGCCAGCAGCCGCGGUAAUACGAAGGGGGCUAGCGUUGCUCGGAAUUACUGGGCGUAAAGGGCGCGUAGGCGGACAGCUUAGUCAGAGGUGAAAGCCCAGGGCUCAACCUUGGAAUUGCCUUUGAUACUGGCUGUCUUGAGUUUGGGAGAGGUGAGUGGAACUCCGAGUGUAGAGGUGAAAUUCGUAGAUAUUAGGAAGAACACCAGUGGCGAAGGCGGCUCACUGGUCCGGUACUGACGCUGAGGUGCGAAAGCGUGGGGAGCAAACAGGAUUAGAAACCCUGGUAGUCC
RNAcentral lists this ribosomal RNA (425 nucleotides) under uncultured bacterium. RNAcentral's name for it is "partial 16S ribosomal RNA". It matches the Rfam family "Bacterial small subunit ribosomal RNA", at positions 354 to 796 of the family's 1533-position model. The record is from RNAcentral.